RNAcentral lists this small RNA (938 nucleotides) under Pongo abelii (Sumatran orangutan). RNAcentral describes it as "processed transcript". The record is from RNAcentral. Lineage: Eukaryota; Metazoa; Chordata; Mammalia; Primates; Hominidae.
GCACCUGCUCCUCAAGUCUUCCUGCAACAAGUGCCACUGUUUUUAGGAAUCUGGGCGUCCACAUAGACAUCUCACCAGUACUGAAACCUCAUAAGUCCUCUCAGCCUUGUCUUUGGAUGCCCUCUCUUGGGAAUGUCCCCAGUCCUGGCAGGAUGCCUGAGCUGUAUCCCCCAGCACACCCGUUCCCGCAGCCUUCCACUGUGGCUGCAGGCGGUGGUGCAGCCCUUCAGACUGCUGCCCAGUUGCCUGCUGUCAGAGCCCCUCCACACAUGAGCCUGCUCCCUACUGCCACCACCGUGGCGCAGACAGACGCUUUCCGAGGAAGAGGUGAAGCUCCUGCAGUCGCUGAAGUAGGGACAGCAGAUCGUGAGGAAAAAGGGCGCCGAGGUUGGGGGCAUGUCUCUCUUCUUACCAAGCUAGACUGGGUUGCCUUUUCUAACUAUUCCAGACCUACAGGGCGAGGGGCCAUAAUGGAGUAUCCCGCCCCUUUAGACCCCAGGCGCUCACCGGCAGGUGCAAGAAGGUGAAAUCCAGCAGCCGCACCAGCUGGUUGCCCGCCAGGUAGAGCACGCGCAGCUGGGCCAGGCCUGCGAAGGCGCCGCUGCGCAAGCUGCGCAGCCGGUUGCUGGUGAGCGCCAGCUCCAGCAGGCGCGGCUGCGCGCGGAAGGCGCCGGCCUCCAGGGCGCGCAGGCUGUUGUUAUGCAGGUAGAGCCGGCGCAGAGCGGCGAGUGGCGCCAGGGCUCCCGGCUCUAGGCGCGCGAUGUUGUUGUCCUGCAGGAACAGUGUCUGCAGGCCCGGGAAAGAGGAGGCGCUUAUCCCGCUGCGGGGGUCUUCCUCUCCCUGGGGGCACCCCGUCCUCCCGCAGCUCCACACGGUGCCCACCUGCGUCCCUGGCGGGAUUCCCAGCGGGACGACGCGCAACCGCAGGGCGCCACACU